GAGGAGCAGUCAGAAUGUUUUGUAAUAAAAGUGUAAAGCCGUUAAAAUAGCUUCAGAAAGCUUUCUGUGAUGUCCAAGGAUGCAAAAGGAUUGCCAGUUAGACGGAGCACCAUGGAUCUUGUGAAUUACCAUCUUCUUUUAGUGGAGUGUGGAGGGCAGGGUGGGGGAAAGAUGGAUAACAAAGUCGACAAGUAAAUACAUGCUACAUAAAUAUGCAUAAAUCCAUUACCAUCUGCCAUGUUGUCCAAUUUGAGAAGGGUGUCUGCCACAUAAAUCAGUUUAAAUCAGGUUUGUCUGGGGUGGUGGCUGAAGUGCUAGUAAAUAAUACACAGAGUACUGUUGUUUACUCCCCCCCCCCGGCAAACAUGUAUUUAGUCAAGAUUUACUUUGUUGUUUACUCGCGAAAAUGGAAUCUGUGGGUUUCAAUCAUGAAAGUACGUUACCAUGAAUUGUUGUUGGCUAGCCAUUUUGCUAAACAAUCUAAUAUAAUUUAUACGGCAUGUAGAAAAUUAUGAUUGUAAAUAAUUGGCUUUUAAAGUGCUGCUUCUAUGAUUUGCAUACCUGUUCUGUUCGAUUCCCCCAUUGCCAUAAUAUUUUAUAGCAGCCCAUUAAUACGUUGAGGAGCGUGUCUGGGCAGAAUCCAAAUAAAUGAGUCAUCUCCCUUGAUACGUUGCUUUAUAUGUGUCGUAAGGAGAGCGGAAGAAGCACACAUUUCUAAGUUCCAGUCCCAAACAUUGUGGAUACAGUCCGAAAGCCUGAAUUUUCAGUUCAGUCCUUCAACAGCUUUCAGGACUAUGUAUGUUGUGGUUUUCUCAAUUGCCUUAUACCAUGGGUAGGUAAACUAAGGCCCAGGGGCUGGAUCUGGCCCAACUGCCUUCUAAAUCCGGCCCGCGGACGGUCCGGGAAUCAGCUUUUUUUUACAUGAGUAGAAUUUGUCCUUUUAUUUAAAAUGCACCUCUGGGUUAUUUGUGGGCAUAGGAAUUUGUUCAUUCCACCCCCCAAAUAUAGUCCACCCCCGCCCCACCCCAGGUCUGAGGGACAGUGGACCCGCCCCCUGCUGAAAAAGUUUGCUGACCCCUGCCUUAAACUUAGCUGGUCACUUAAUAAUCACCGCUUCCCAGGCAAUCUGAAUUCUGGAAAAUAAAAAGAGCCUGUUGGAGCACAUCUGUGGCCCGUCUAGUCCAACAUCCUGUUGUCACAGUUGCCAUCCAGAUGCCUGGGGGAUGCCCACAAGGAGGAGGACCCAAGCACAAGAGCCCUCUCCUCUCCUGAAGUUUCCAGCAACUGUAUUCAGAAACAUACUGCCUCUAACUGUGGAAGCAAAGCACAGUCAUUAGGGCUAAUAGCCAAUGAUAACCUUCCCCGCCUCUCAGCUGUGCAAGCUCUGCUGCCCCUUUGCCUCGUGUGAGCCAGAGUGACAGCGGGGCUUGGUUGACCAGGUGCUCCCCAUUUCUGGGUACCCGGCACCAUACACGUGCAUGGUUGCAUGCAAA
Non-coding RNA from Podarcis lilfordi (Lilford's wall lizard), 1493 nucleotides. The record is from the annotation of a GenBank genome assembly. Lineage: Eukaryota; Metazoa; Chordata; Lepidosauria; Squamata; Lacertidae.